This 516-nucleotide ribosomal RNA is filed under the name uncultured bacterium. RNAcentral describes it as "partial 16S ribosomal RNA". It matches the Rfam family "Bacterial small subunit ribosomal RNA", at positions 28 to 523 of the family's 1533-position model. The record is from RNAcentral.
GAUGAACGCUGGCGGCGUGCCUAAUACAUGCAAGUCGAACGCAUUGAGAGAAGUGCUUGCACUUUUCAAUUUGAGUGGCGAACGGGUGAGUAACACGUGGGCAACCUACCUGAUAGCGGGGGAUAACGAGUGGAAACAUUCGCUAAUACCGCAUAACAAUAGAGAAGGCAUCUUCUUAAUGUCAAUGGCGCUUUCAAGCGCCAAUAUCAGAUGGGCACGGGGUGAAUUAGUUAGUUGGCGGGGUGAAGGCCGACCAAGACGGUGAUGCAUAUGCGAGUUGAGAGACUGAUCGGCCACAUUGGGACUGAGACACGGCCCAAACUCCUACGGGAGGCUGCAGUAGGGAAUCUUCCACAAUGGACGAAAGUCUGAUGGAGCAACGCCGCGUGUGUGAUGAAGGCUUUCGGGUCGUAAAGCACUGUUGUAUGGGAAGAAAUGCUAGGCUAGGAAAUGAGCUUAGUUUGACGGUACCAUACCAGAAAGGGACGGCUAAAUACGUGCCAGCCGCCGCCGUAA